CCUACGGGAGACAGCAGUGAGGAAUAUUGGUCAAUGGGCGGAAGCCUGAACCAGCCAAGUAGCGUGCAGGAUGACGGCCCUACGGGUUGUAAACUGCUUUUAUACGGGAAUAACGCGCCUUACGUGUAGGGCUUUGCAUGUACCGUAUGAAUAAGGACCGGCUAAUUCCGUGCCAGCAGCCGCGGUAAUACGGAUGGUCCGGGCGUUAUCCGGAUUUAUUGGGUUUAAAGGGAGCGUAGGUGGGAUGUAAAGCAUGCUGUGAAAUGUCCGGGCUCAACCCGGGCAUUGCAGCGAGAACUGGCGUGCUUGAGUGCGCGGAAGGCAGGCGGAAUUCGUCGUGUAGCGGUGAAAUGCUUAGAUAUGACGAAGAACCCCGAUUGCGAAGGCAGCUUGCUGGAGUGGAACUGACGCUGAUGCUCGAAAGUGUGGGUAUCGAACAGGAUUAGAUACCCGGGUAGUC
This 460-nucleotide ribosomal RNA is filed under the name uncultured bacterium. RNAcentral describes it as "partial 16S ribosomal RNA". It matches the Rfam family "Bacterial small subunit ribosomal RNA", at positions 338 to 795 of the family's 1533-position model. The record is from RNAcentral.